RNAcentral lists this ribosomal RNA (253 nucleotides) under uncultured bacterium. RNAcentral's name for it is "partial 16S ribosomal RNA". It matches the Rfam family "Bacterial small subunit ribosomal RNA", at positions 524 to 776 of the family's 1533-position model. The record is from RNAcentral.
UACAGAGGUGGCAAGCGUUGUUCGGAAUUACUGGGCGUAAAGGGCUCGUAGGCGGCCAACUAAGUCAGACGUGAAAUCCCUCGGCUUAACCGGGGAACUGCGUCUGAUACUGGAUGGCUUGAGAUUGGGAGAGGGAUGCGGAAUUCCUGGUGUAGCGGUGGAAUGCGCAGAUAUCAGGAGGAACACCGGUGGCGAAGGCGGGUCUCUGGGCAGUAACUGACGCUGAGGAGCGAAAGCGUGGGGAGCGAACAGG